GGGGUUGCGCUAGUGAGUUG
This 20-nucleotide unclassified non-coding RNA is filed under the name Chlamydomonas reinhardtii. RNAcentral describes it as "small RNA Cre_1941". Lineage: Eukaryota; Viridiplantae; Chlorophyta; Chlorophyceae; Chlamydomonadales; Chlamydomonadaceae. The record is from RNAcentral.